Molecule: non-coding RNA, 71 nt
Organism: Phrynosoma platyrhinos (Desert horned lizard)
Lineage: Eukaryota; Metazoa; Chordata; Lepidosauria; Squamata; Phrynosomatidae
Source: the annotation of a GenBank genome assembly
GGCAGCAUGGUGUAGUGGUUUAAGUGUUGGACUUCGACUCUGGAGGCCAGCGUUCGAAUCCCAGCUUGCCC